UCACCCCUCAAGCCCUGGCUUGGUGUUGGACUUUAGUUUUAGCUUUGCCUAUCAACUGGUCUCAAAGAUAGUGACGGCGCCCCAGAGGGAACCGGGUACGAGGAGCUUUUUACUAAGCAUGUAUCUGGGGCGACUCUGAUGGGCGACGGUCUUGUUAUACAUUUACCUAG
Molecule: unclassified non-coding RNA, 170 nt
Filed under: uncultured Chaetothyriales
Lineage: Eukaryota; Fungi; Ascomycota; Eurotiomycetes; Chaetothyriales
Description: sequence contains ITS2
Source: RNAcentral